This 24565-nucleotide long non-coding RNA is filed under the name Nicotiana tabacum (common tobacco). RNAcentral's name for it is "long non-coding RNA (NTAB_LNC010435)". The record is from RNAcentral. Lineage: Eukaryota; Viridiplantae; Streptophyta; Magnoliopsida; Solanales; Solanaceae.
ACAUCACCUUUUAUUUUAAUACCCAACUCCAAUGCCCAAUUUUAAUUAAUAGGUCAAUUUAACUUCGGAGACACCAAAAUGUUAAACAUCACGCAUUAAACAUCUAUAUCUUAAUAAAUCAACUAUCUAGAGAAACCAAACUCAUUUACAAAUAGCAAAUAGCAAAAAAAUAAAACUGAUGCAAACAAAUUACUAAUAAGCCACAAUCCAAAACAGAGGAAGAAAGCAUUAACCCAUAUGAUCGACAAAAAUAGAGCACAAAGAUUAAUAACACAAUAUAAGCAUGGUAUCAAGCAGAAACAAUAGAAGAAAUUAAGAAACAAACCUCAAACCGAUGAACUCUGGACGCAACUCGAAUCGGCACCGGAAAUUCAAAACCAAAUACGACCCUAAACAAACUCCAUAAUUUGAAAACGAAGUCCGGAAUUUAAAGAGAAGAAAUAGAACAUUUUUCUUUGAAUUCAAUCAUGAACUAACUCACAAAAAAAACAGAAACAUUUUCUUGUAUUGAUUCUAUCCAAAGCUCCUCCCCCAAUUUCUAUGACAAUUCUGUCCGUGUUCUCUACUACCCGUCCCCCCAUUUGGACACAAAUAUCUUCUACACAGUCAACCGCAACAAAUACGCUAUCAGUAGUGCAAAGGGAAGCAGUCAUGGUGUUGAUGGCGGAUAACUGGUGGUCGCUUGUGGUGGAGCUACGGUGGUGGUGGCUGGUUAUUUAGGUUGGGGUGAAGGAGAAGAAGAGGGGUCAGCAUAGCGGUGGGUUUGGGUGUGGAUGUGACAGCAGAGGAGUCGCCGGGUUUGGGUAGUUGCUUGGCACUGUGUGGAGACUGGGAUGGUGGUCUGAAGGUGACGACGGGGUGGUCGCUGGUCGACGUCCAGUGAGGCGGGGGUGGUUUUUUUCUGAAGAUGGCGGCGGCGGCUGGAGAGGGGGGGGGGGGGGGUUCUCUACGAUGAAAAAACGGUUGUUGUCUAGAGAAGAAGAUAGGUUUAGAGUUGUUUUAAUUAUCUAGGUCUUGAAAAUGUGUGUUAGGGUGUAUACGAAGAAGUGGAAGUGAGUCUUAGGGUUUGGGCUUAGGAAAUUGAGUUGGACCAUGUCUUUUGGAUUUAAAUUUAGGCUAAGAAGACCAAAUAGUACAAUGUAUCUAUAAAGUGUAAAAAUCACUCUUAAUUAAAAUAAACUAAUAUAAAACUAAAUACUAAAAGUGAAGCUAAUUUUUGUAUUUUUAAAAUGUUAUAAUAAAGUAAAAAGUAGGAAGAAUAGGCCAAAGCCACGGUAAAAUUAAAAUACUAUAAAUAUAAAUAUACUACUUGACUUUAAACUAAAGAUGAAAAUAUUUUUGUAAUUUUUAUAUUUGUGAUAAAAUAAAGUAAAAGAGUAAAACUAUUUAAAAUAGCGAUAUUAAACCUAAACUAAAUAUUUAACACUAAAAUGUGUAAAAUUUUGGAGAGGGUAAAAAAUUACAUGUCUACAAUCACAAUAGACUGUAUAGGACCCUGAACCUAUAGGCAAUAUCAAAAUUGGGGCUAUAGUUAAAGCUGUCUUGAGCUUCUGGAAGCUCUCCUCACACUCUUCCGUCCAUUGGAACAUAGCACCCUUCUGGGUUAGCCUGGUCAUAGGUGCUGCAAUAGAUGAAAAUCCCUCAACAAAUCGACGGUAAUAACCCGCCAAGCCAAGAAAAUUACGAAUCUCUGUAGCCGAGGAUGGUCUGGGCCAACUCUGCACCGCUUCCACCUUCUUCGGAUCCACCUUGAUCCCUUCAUUCGAUACUACGUGACCCAAGAAUGCCACGGAAUCCAACCAAAACUCACAUUUCGAGAACUUCGCAUAUAAAUUCUUUUCUCUCAAAGUCCGAAGCACUAUCCUCAGGUGUUGUUCAUGAUCCUCCCGACUCCGAGAGUAUACCAGAAUGUCAUCAAUAAAUACAAUGACAAACGAGUCAAGAUAUGGUCGGAACACGCUGUGCAUCAAAUGCAUAAAGGCUUCUGGGGCAUUGAUCAGCCCAAAUGAUAUAACAAGGAACUCGUAAUGACCAUACCGAGUCCUGAAAGCAGUCUUCGGGAUAUAUGGCUCCCGAAUCUUCAACUGAUGGUAACCUGAAUGCAAGUCGAUCUUAGAAAACAGUCGAGCACCCUGUAACUAGUCAAACAAAUCAUCAAUACGAGGCAAAGGAUACUGGUUCUUCAUUGUAACUUUGUUCAACUAGCGAUAAUCAAUGCACAUACAAUGGAACCAUCCUUUUUCUUCACAAACAAGACUGGAGCACCCCAAGGUGAUACACUAGGCCGAAUAAAACCCUUAUCAAGUAAUUCCUGUAAUUGAUCCUUCAACUCCUUCAACUUAGGAGGGGCCAUACGAUAAGGAGGAAUAGAAAUGGGCUGAGUGCCCGGCAACAAAUCAAUGCCGAAAUCAAUAUCCCUGUCGGGAGGCAUACCCGAAAGAUCAGCUGGAAACACAUCAGGGAAAUCCCAUACUACUGGGACUGAAUCAACCGUAAGGGUAUUCAUACUGACAUCUCUCUCAUAAGCUAGAUACGCGGCACACCCCUUCUCAAAAAUUCGCUAAGCUUUAAGAAAUGAAAUUACCCCUCCACUCUACUCGCGGUACACCUAGCAUAGCUAGUGUCACGGUUUUGGCAUGACAAUCAAAAAUAGCAUAAUGGGGCGAUAACUAGUCCAUACCCAAGAUAACAUCGAAAUCUACCAUGCUGAGCAAUAAUAAAUCGGCUCUGGUCUAAAACCACUANNNNNNNNNNNNNNNNNNNNNNNNNNNNNNNNNNNNNNNNNNNNNNNNNNNNNNNNNNNNNNNNNNNNNNNNNNNNNNNNNNNNNNNNNNNNNNNNNNNNNNNNNNNNNNNNNNNNNNNNNNNNNNNNNNNNNNNNNNNNNNNNNNNNNNNNNNNNNNNNNNNNNNNNNNNNNNNNNNNNNNNNNNNNNNNNNNNNNNNNNNNNNNNNNNNNNNNNNNNNNNNNNNNNNNNNNNNNNNNNNNNNNNNNNNNNNNNNNNNNNNNNNNNNNNNNNNNNNNNNNNNNNNNNNNNNNNNNNNNNNNNNNNNNNNNNNNNNNNNNNNNNNNNNNNNNNNNNNNNNNNNNNNNNNNNNNNNNNNNNNNNNNNNNNNNNNNNNNNNNNNNNNNNNNNNNNNNNNNNNNNNNNNNNNNNNNNNNNNNNNNNNNNNNNNNNNNNNNNNNNNNNNNNNNNNNNNNNNNNNNNNNNNNNNNNNNNNNNNNNNNNNNNNNNNNNNNNNNNNNNNNNNNNNNNNNNNNNNNNNNNNNNNNNNNNNNNNNNNNNNNNNNNNNNNNNNNNNNNNNNNNNNNNNNNNNNNNNNNNNNNNNNNNNNNNNNNNNNNNNNNNNNNNNNNNNNNNNNNNNNNNNNNNNNNNNNNNNNNNNNNNNNNNNNNNNNNNNNNNNNNNNNNNNNNNNNNNNNNNNNNNNNNNNUGCAGGGCAAAAUAAGAGGACACAUAAGAAUAAGCAGAGCCUGAAUUGAAUAGAACUGAUGCAUCUCUAUGGCAAACCAGGACAAUACCUGUGAUGACAGAAUCGAAGGCGACACCAUCAGUACGGGUAGGAAGGGCAUAGUAUCUGGCCUGGCCUCCCCCUCUAGGGCGACCUCUACCUCCUCGACCUCCACCUCUAGCUGGCUGGGUAGGUGGGGCAGCAACUGGUGCUGUGAUCAUAGCCUAGAAACUCUGUGGAGCAUGCUGUGGCUGAAAAGUCUAUGGAGGUGCACCCCUCCUAAUCCUGGGGCAAUCUCUCACCAUAUGGAGUGUAUUGCCACACUCAAAACAAGCUCUAGGAGGAUGUGGCGGUUGUGACUGGCUCAGGCCAUGUUUGCUGGACCAACCACUGAAAGCACCUCAUUUAGGAGGCGCACUAGAUACUAGAGGUGCAUAAUAGGGCUCUUCAGGUCUAGGAGGAGCUGAAAUACCACUGGCUACUGGAAGAACUAAAUGAACGGGGCGACUCAUAUAACCCGUACCAUGAUGAACUGCAGCUGGGGCACAUGCACCAGAAUAAUGGCCCGACUCCCGAGACCCCUUGGCCUCCCUUUCCUCUCUAUCCCGAGCAUGCAUAUCCUCUACUCUCCUAGCAAUUCACACCACCUGCUGAUAAGAAAUAUCCUUUUCCAACUCCUAGGCCAUGCUAGAUCUGAUGUUGGGAAUAAGCCCCUCAAUGAACCAGCAAACUCUCUCACAAACUGUAGAGAACAAGGCUAGUGCAUGCCUAGCCAAGUUAGUAAAACGGAGAACAUACUCCGAAACAGUCAUAGUACCCUGGUGCAAAUGCUCAAACUCUGCGCGUCAUGCGUCCUUGAGGCUCUAAGGAAUAUACUCCCUCAAAAACAUAACUGAAAACUGGGUCCAUAUACUGGAAGCUGCCUUAGCUGGGCUGUCCAACUCAUAGGUACGCCACCACUGGUAGGCUUCCCCUCGAAGCUGGAAGGCAGUGAAAGAAACCUCACUUGAUCCUGAUAUACCCAUAGUGCGGAGGAUACGAUAGCACUUCUAUAGAAAUCCCAGAGCAUCAUCUAAUGCUAGACUACUGAAUAUAGGAGGCUUGUACUUCUUGAACCUCUCAAGCCUCCGUUGCUCAGCCUCUGAAGCUGUUGCCCUAUCCUCGGGCUGAACUGGGGCUAUAGGUGGUACCGGUAUAACUUUUGGGAUCUGAUCAAUCUGGACCCACUGCUCUGGGGUACAGGCGGCGGGAGUCUGUGCUCCUCUCCCGGCAUGGGAUGUGGCUGCAGCAAGGGGAAUCAACCAUGUCUAAGCUAGAGUGGUGUACAUGCUCACGAACUCUGCAAGGGUCUCCUUAAGAACUGGAAUAGUAGUAGCAGUAAGCGUAUCAGGUGCCUAGGCUCCGGCUGGAGCUGCUGGUGGCUCCUCUGUGGUAGCUCGCGUGGGUGCUCUGGCUGCACCACAUGCGCGUCCUCGGCCUCUACCCCGGCCCCGACCUCUAGCGGCUCUAGUAGGUGGUGCGGGUGCCUGGUCCUCUCCAGUAGUACGUGUCAUCACCAUCUAUGAGAAAAUAGAAGACAAAGGUUUAGAUUUUCGAUAUCAAACAUCUCGCAUGACAAGGAAAUCAAAUGAAGUGAAAUUUUCCUAACAGUUACAUAGCCUCUCGUAGAUAAAUACAAACAUCUCUGUACUGAUCCGCGAGACUCUAAUAAACCAGCUUGUGAUUCAUGACUCCUAUGAACCUAGAGCUCUGAUACCUACUUGUCACAACCCAAGUUCUCCAUCCGUGAACUGCCGUGACGACACAUAGUCUUUAUGACUAGGUAAGCCUAUCAAAUUACGGAAAAAGAAAUUAAAUAUGAAAUUAGCAAGUUGCGAAUAAAACAUAAUAAAAGAGUUUAAAAUGUCGCUCGGCAUAUACAAUACAUACUCUCAAAACUGAAUCAAACUCCCAAAAUCCGGAAUCUCAUGAAAUCGCAAGCCAUAGAAAACUACAUAGCAUUCUAACUCCAGAAUAUCUAAUCAAAAGUAAAUACAAGAAGUCUCAAGCUAAAAGGGAUAAUAGAGAGGGACUUCUAGGUCUGCGGACGAGGCAGAUAUACCUCGAAGUUUCUGAUAUCGCCCGCCUCACUGAUAGAACGGCUGAGCAGAAGAACCUGGAUCUGCACACAAAAAAUAUUUGCAGGAAAUGGAAUGAGUACACCACAACGGUACCCAAUAAGUAUCAACCCUAACCUCGGUCAGGUAGUGACGAGGAAAGUGAGGGCCCUACUGGUUAAAUAUAUAUAUAUAUAUAUAUAUGAAAUGGUAUAGUGUAAUUAAAAUACUAACAGUCGAUAAGGAAUAAAAUCACAGAAAGAAUAUAACCCAGUACACAAAGAUAGCAACAGGGGAUCUCCCAGGAUAUCGCCCCGUAGUCCCAAAUGUAAAUGUGCAGAGGAUCUCUCGGGAUAUCGUCCCGUAGUCCGAAUCAUAAAUGUGUAGAGAAUCUCCCGGAAUACUAAUCCGUAGUCUCAAAGUAAAUAUCCAGUACAUGGGGAUCUCCCAGAAUGUCAUCCCGUGGUCCCAAAUGUAAAUGUGCAGGGGGAUCUCCCGAAAAUACCGAUAUGUAGUCCCAAAGUAACAUGUAGGGGGAUCUCCCGGGAUAUUGUCCCGUAAUACCAAAGUAAACACACAACAGUCUCAAGAAAAAAUCUACAAUUCUAUCCAAGUUCGUACCUAGAAAAUAGAGAUUCCUAUUCUAAACAUGCUGCACAAAAUUCAAGUAAACACUUUAAGCAGAUAGAACAGCUAAGUCACUUAAGCAUGCUUUCCUAAACUAAACAGUAGGCUUUAAAAUACAAGAAAUGUUCAACAAAACGGAAACACAGAUAUUUACUUAAUGAAAAUGGGGUUUUCCAAUAAUUAGCACGUGUACGCACUCGUCACCUCACGUACACGGCACUCAUAUAACAAAAAUACCAAAAUCCUAAGGGGAGUUCCCCCACACAAGGUUAGGCAAACCACUUACCCCGAACCAGCACAAAAUUUAAGUAAACACUUUAAGCAGAUAGAACAGCUAAGCCACUUAAGCAUGCUUUCCUAAACUAAACAGUAGGCUUUNNNNNNNNNNNNNNNNNNNNNNNNNNNNNNNNNNNNNNNNNAGCACAAAAUUUAAGUAAACACUUUAAGCAGAUAGAACAGCUAAGUCACUUAAGCAUGCUUUCCUAAACUAAACAGUAGGCUUUAAAAUACAAGAAAUGUUCAACAAAACAGAAACACGGAUAUUUACUUAAUGAAAAUGGGGUUUUCCAAUAAUUAGCACGUGUACGCACUCGUCACCUCACGUACACGACACUCAUAUAACAACAGUACCAAAACCCUAAGGGGAGUUCCCCCCCACAAGGUUAGGCAAGCCACUUACCUCGAACCAGCUCAAAAUCAAUCCGAAACCACGCUCUUGCCACGAAUAUCCAACUCCGAGUGGCCCAAAUCUAAUCAAAUAAAUUUCAUAAUGUAAAUAUAGCUACAAACAACGAAUUUAGCUAAAGGAAUCGAAGCUAAGGUAAGAAAAUAGAAAAAUACCCAAAAAUCCUCCCCGGGCCCACGUCUCAAAAUCGGGUAAAAAUUAAGGAUUAUGAACACUCAUUCACUCACGAGCACACUCGAACAACAAUCAGCAAAAUCCAACGCCAAAAUCUCACUCAAAACUCGGAUUUUCAAUUGGGAAACUUUUCUCCCAUUUUCAAACUUUUGCCCUCGAUUUCCUUAAUUAGAAGAGGAAAACAAUAAUAGAUUAUAGUAUUAUGAUCAAAAUCAAGUUAGAAUUCAUUACCCAAUGAUUCUCCUUCAAACCCCUUGAAAAAUUGUCUCCCACCGAGCUCUAAUUCGAUUUUUGUGUCGUAAAAUUUCAAACACUCGAUUUUUCUAUAUCUGCCUAGCGAUUACCGCAUCUAUGGUUCAUGGGGUUGCACCUGCGGUCCCGCACCUGCAUCUUGGGCUCCGCAUCUAUAGAAUUUCAUUAAUUCCCUAGGCACCGCACCUGCGCUCCCUUCUCCGCAGAUGCAGUCCGCUUCUGCGGUCCUUGAGCUGCAUCUACGGUCACUGGCCCUUGUGCUCCAAACCACACCUGCGAGCUCUUGCCUCGCUUCUACGGGCCGCACCUACAGGCUCCCCACCGCAGGUACGAAAAUACCCUAAGCAGCCAACUUCAAAAUUUGCCUAAGUCCAAAUUCACUUUCGUUAAGAAUCCGAAACUCACCUGAGGCCUCCGAGACCUCAACAAAACAUGCCAACCAAUCCUAAAAUAUCAUAUGAACUUAAUCCAACACUCGGAUCACAUCAAACAACGCUAAAACCACGAUUCACCCUUCAAUCCAAGCCUAAUGAACUUGAAAUCUCAAGAAUUCUACAACUGAUGUCGAAACCAACCCAUGUCCGAUUGACCCCAAAUUUUGCACACAAGUCAUAUUAAACACUACAGAGCUAUUUCAGAAUCGGAUUCCGACCCCGAUAUCAAAAUUUCACUAUCGAUCUGGAAAUUUUAAAAAUUCAACUUUCGGCAUUUCAAGCCUAAAUAAGUUAUUGACCUCCAAAACACAAUCCGAACAUACCCCUAAGCCCGAAAUCACUCAACAGAGCUAACGGAAUCGACGAAAUUCUAUUCCGAAGCCGUCUUCACACUGUUCCGCCUACGACCCAAAUUCUAAAGCUUACGCUCUCAUUUAGGGACUAAGUGUCUCAAAACACUCCGAAACUCCAAACGAAUUCUCCCGUCAACUCACAAUAGCAGAAAUAAAUACGGAAAAAGUAGUUAAUAGGGGACUGGGAUGUUAAUUCUCAAAACAAUCGGCCGGGUCGUUACAAAGAGGAUUUGGCUGCUUUGACUUAUAAGUGAAACAUCGAGGGGUUGAGACUUUUGCCAAUUUGAGAUGUAUCAACAAUGAUGGUAACCCAAUCUAUGUGAUUAGAGAUCCCAUGAAAUAGGUUCAUAUGGGUAAUAACAAGUCAUUAGUUGAUCAAAUAUGUAUCAUAAAUUAUGUCUCUUCUAGUGGAGUGUGUGUACAUAAUGCAAGACUGCAAGGAAUGUGAGGUUGAGUUAUUAUACUCUUAAUCUGAUAAUUCAUAGCCUAUUGUAGGCGGUAUAUUGUGCUACAAAAUGCACUUGACGGAUGGACCUAUAUGAGUGUGGAGUGGGGUCGCUCCUAUAAAAUUUGUGACAAAAUUUUUAGAGCACUCAUGAAUACCAGGCACGCGUAUAGCCUAUUAGGCAAAACCGCGAUAACAACAGAAAUUGUGGGGGUGUAAUAUAAUGAAUAAGAUCCCUAGCUUAUAACAAGAAAUUUUGGUUCAUAGAGGUUAUCAACUUCACCAAUUAUUCUGUAAGUUGAAUCUUAUUUUAUCUAUUUCUAGUUCAUAGUCUAUAAGACACCAGAUGGAUUUUAUUAUAUCCGAAGCCCAGCAAAUUAUACUCUCUUUCUUUCUUUGGUUACUAUUUAUUUUUUAUAUCCCUUUUGAGAUAUGUAGGGAUUGUUGGAAAAUUAGUGAUAUCUCAAAAGGUAAUGUCCAUCUUGGUUUGGAAAAUCUUUUCUCUUUGAAAUAUUAUUUACAUCUACUUAUUAGUUAGUAAAUUAUUUUAUAUUUAAUAGAGUCAAACUAGCCAUUAUCUAGCCAUUAACUAGCCGUUGGAGCGCGCCUAUAUAAACAUGGUCUUUGGAGAUCUAAAGACACACUUUCUAACAUAACUUUCUGAAUCAUCUUUUUCCUUCUAUAUGUUGGGUUUUUUUCUUGAAUUUUCAGUUAGUUCUGUUCCCAAUUUUAUAACUAGAAGAACUUGUUGAAUCCUGAGGAAUACGCCCAAUUUUAUUCAUUAUUGUGUGGACGAAAUAUCCUUAAGGACAACGUCCUUCAUACGCUUCAAGUUAACUCCUAUUCUCUUAACAAUUUUUCCAACAAAUUAUCCAUUUCAAGUUUGACAAGAGAAAUAGGGAUUUGAGAUUUCUCACGAGAAUUUUGGAACUUUGUGCAUGGUGGUAGGGGAAGUAUCAUGUGAUGAAUUUGAUUAUGUGGCUUGACCGAUAUGCUUUCUAAGACUUUUGAAAUUGUUCUCCUUAACAUCAAGCAUCAUAAAGGAUAAAGGAUGUGUUUGGUAUGAGGAAAAAUAUUUUUUUUUUUUAAAAAAAUCAUGAAAUAAUUAUUUCCUGGUGUUUGGUACGGCGGACAUUAUUUUAGACAAAACAUCUUCCAUCGGAAGGCGGAAAAUAACUUAUAUCACUUAUGGCGGAAGCCAUUUGCCUUAUAAUUAUCAUAACUUUCAUUUUCAUAUUAUUUAUUUUAAGUAAUACUUAGUAAUUUAAUCUCUAGCAUUCAAGAGUUUCAUCAAAAUACGUUUCAAUUUGUUGAUAUCAUUUAUAAGCUUAAAUAUAUAAUCUUUUGAAAAAUGCUUGUCACCUACCAACCAAAAGCCAAAAAUACAUUUCUAAAAAAAUAUUUCUUUUAAAAAAGAUAUUUCUAAAAAAAUAUUUCUUUUAAAAGAGAUAACUGAUGUCAUACUAAAUACACUCAAAAUGUGAUAUACACUUCGGAAUUUGGACUCAAACUAAGUAGGCGUUUGGACAUAAAAACUGUAAUUCUUUAAAAAAAAAAUAGUUUUUGGAGUUAAGUUGCGAUAUGUAUUUGAAAUUUAAAAUUAUGUUUGGACAUGUAUUUCACUUGAAAAAUAUUAUAGUUUUGUGAGUGAAAAAACAAAAAUUUCUGAAAAUUUUGAAAAAAUAAUUUUUUGAAAAACUUAUUUUCGAAAAAUUUCUAAGAAUUUAUAAAAUUUUAUGGACAAACACAUUUUUUUAAAAAAAAAAGUUGAAAUAAAAAAUAGCUAUGCACAAAUGGGACCUAAAUUUACUUCUAUAAUUUUUGAUUUCAAGGUUGAUUUGCGACUGUAUUCCGUUCUAAUGUGAUGUUUCGGCAUAUUAGGGAAUCAAUGUAUAAUUUGUUCAUCAUUAUAUUUAUUCGUUAGCUGAAAAAGCACCUAGUUGAGAUUUUCUUUAACUUUUUUUUUUUUCUAUUUUAUCAUGAGGUAGGAUCGACAUUUUCUUUCUUUAUCAGAUGUCUUCAUAUGGACAAUACUGACAUUCUCAAUAAAUCAUUAAUAAAGAAGAUCAAAGUCACUGGACACACACAUAGGCCGAUGAAUCUUGAAUUCAACCUAUGAGUCAUUAAUUAAACAUUAGAAGUGCUGAUAUCCCAGCGCACCACCCCUACAUAGCUCCAGAUUCUGCCAAGUAUUUCAUCUGAUGUCGAUAUUGGUUGGAUUUCGUGCUGGAAAAGGAAGAAAAAUCAAAAAGCAUCAGUUUGGUUUCUUUUGUUUAAAAUCGUUCUAUUUCGCUUCUUGAAUAGUGGAUCUAUCGAUUUUUUCUAGCUUCACACGAUAGGAGUAAAAUUUACGUAUAUUCUUGAUCACGCCCAACUCUAAUUUUAAAAAGAAUAAGCGAUCGCUAUAAAUAAAAUUUGGUCUAAAAGUCCGGAAUCGAAUCCCACAGAGAACUAAGAUUUUGCUAUAAUGUUCAAUAUCACCAAUAAGUCGAGCUCGAACAAUUCCUAAGUUAUAAAUAUUAAGAUUCUUAUAUCUAACUAAUUAACUAACAAAUUAAAAUAGUAAAUUAGCAACUAAAGAUACUAAGGGUUGGAGACAAGAUUAAGGAGGUCUAGAAUUAUGAUUUCCCCAAAUGUCGGAAUCCUUCCCGCUACGUCUCCUACAAUUUCGUCUAAGUAUUCUUUAUUGAUCAUGAGCACUCGACUUAUCGUAAUUCUCUCUCGAGCAGCUACAAUAUUGUACUAGUCUUAUUCUUUCGAACUACGCUAGCUCGCACUUUUUCACCGCCCACUAUGAUCACGUCAAAGCUUCGUUAUCUCUAAUCUCGCUUUUUAAACCCAUAGUAUUGAUCUCUCAUAUACCUUAGGAGUGACGUUGUUCAACAACCACCUAAAUAUAUAUAUCCUUUCUCAAGCAACACAUACUAAAUAGGCACAGUCAAUAGAUGGUCAUUCAAUCAACUGAAAUAAACACAUAGUUGAACAAGUAGAUAAAUCCAAAGGUUAANNNNNNNNNNNNNNNNNNNNNGUACGUACGACGACUACUAUAUAUAUAUAUGUGUGUGUUAUAUAUAUAUAUAUAUAUAUAUAUAUAUAUAUAUAUAUAUAUAUAGUGACUAACCCUCCUAAGGACCUUAAUACACCACACUUUCAAGCACAUUCUUGUCAUGACCACUUCCACAUUUUGCCAUGACUCUAUACACAAUGAAGCCCUUCUUCAUUAAUCACAUUAAAAUAUAGAUACUCACUAGCCCAAACAAAGAUAUGGGAGGUGUCAUUCACCAUUUUUUUUCUUUUGUAUUUUUUGUAAACACUCUCCUUAUUUUGGUCUUUCCGGCUAGUAAGACGUUUACCCACAAUUGCACCUUGUCGGCCUUUUUAUGGUUCUACUCAAAAGAGACCCAAUCUCUUUCUUUACUUCCAUCCACUUAAGUGAUUUCGUAGGUAAAGGAUGAAUAAGAUACAAUUUAGAACAAAAUAGGGGUUGGUUUGUAACAUGGGUGCCAAAGAAAAAGAUCUAUAGGCUCAAAAGGGCUGACUACAGAUAAUGUUAUCACUGGUAGGCAAAUAGGAUCAAGGGUCAAUCAAAGAAAUGCCUAUAUCAUUUCCUCAACUCACAAGACUUAAUUAUUUCACUUCGACUCACACACGGGGCAAGUUCUAGACUAACAAGGGAUGGCAUAAAGUACAACUAAAAUAUCACCUCACACAAUGCACAUGACUUACUCAGGACAACUCAGACCAGACUCUCAAGUUAAAGCAACUAGCACAGUCAUCAUAUAAUCCAAACAUUAGAAAGUAACAAUAGGAGUCAACAGAUGAGCCCAAACGUCAAAAUACAGUCACAUACAUUCUCAAGGCAUAUAAUCACAAGAAUCAAGAAGAAAGUAUUCAACACAAAUGCUCCACCUCUAAGCUCCGAUAUAAACCAUGUCAAUAAUAUAGACACUCAAGUUCUUCCCCUUUCCAUUAUCAGUUGAAAAAAAGAAACAAAAAAUAUUUUUGUAUUUUUCUUUAGACUUUAAACCCUCAAGAAAACUAUUUAGGAAGUCCUUCGUAGGGAAAAGUCCAAACCUUUUUUUUCCCGAAAAUUUUACCUACAAAAGAAAAAACUACUACCCGGUUCAAAGAGUUAUCUCUUAAAAAAGAACCGUGGCCAUAAGAAAAACCGAGAAGGAUUAUUUCUAACUAAAUUUUUCUUUUGAUUUUUUUCCAACACAAAUAAAAUAAUACAACUAAAAUAACAUAGGAAAUCACCCAAAAGGUCUCUUCACCCUACACUUAAAAUUAUGCAUUGUCCCCAAUGCACACCAAUAAAUACAAGAGGGUAAAAGAAACUCCCUGGUAGGCCAAAGGCCGAAGCAUUAGCAACUCAUGGGAUACGCAGACUUCUCCUGGACUUAGUUAUUUGUACAGGCACCCCACACCUUGUUCUAACCAUCUCGUUUGAUUUUGUUUCCUUCCAAUGGCUUUGCUUCCUGUGCUCCUAGAAAAUUAGAAAUGACACUACAGAAAUGAUACAAUACAAAAUUAAAUUAAAAACUAUAAAUAAAAGAAAGCAAUAAAGAUGGGUUGCCUCCCAACAAGCGCCUAAUUUAACGUCGUGGCACGACGCGAAUCACUUUUUGUCUCCAUCUCGAGCUUAUGAAUUGAACCUCAAGUUUUGCUUCAAGCUUAUGAUUAUGCUCUUGGGGUGGUACAAAUUCUUGCGAGCCAAAAAUUAGAUAAAGUUUUAUGCACUUUUUGGCUCUCAACCAAGGAGUGUCACCUUGCCUAAACGACCUUGAAAAUUUCAAAAUAUAAGGCUCAUCUACCUCUUCCCUGGACUCCUUUUUAUGCUCGUAAGGAUCCAUUCGCCUUUCACCAUCCGAACAUAAUAUAGAGAAGUGUUUGGAAUGAGGUCCAACGCGCUCAAAUACAUGAACUUCAAGAUUUUUGACCUCCUCAACACCAAUCACACUAGAGUCAACUAAAUUUGUAUCUUCAAUGUCCUUGGCUGACUCUAGUGUUACUUCAUCAAUAUCAGCAUCCUUAAAUUCUAGUUGGAUAGAUUAUUGUUGUUCUACUCUAACCUUCUCCACUAGCACCUCAACUUCAGUAUUUAAUUCAUGCUCUUCUUGACUAUUAUCCCCAAUAUUGGCAUGUUGAGCAUUAAAGCUUCAACUAGUUGGCCCACUUGUGCCUCCAGGUUGCGAAUAAUAACAUCUUGUCUUUGUAUGUGUAAUUGUUCCUCAUUAUUUUGUUCCACAAGGCACCUUAGCAUAUCCUUGAUCUCUUUUAGGUCAUCAUCCAUGGGUUCUUUGUUCCUAUUAACUUCACAAGAAAAGGUAGAACUAUCAUAGUAAGGGAUUGGGGGAGGAUAAGAAAUAUAAGCACAACCAUGAAAGUGACCCUCUUGACCACCACACAUCUCACACACAUUCUACAUAUAAAAUUGAGUUGGUGCAAUAACUCGCUCUCGAAAAUAUUUUGAUAAUUUUGCCAUGGAUGAUUUUAUCCACAAUAUGCAUAAGGAAGAUUAAAAGUAGAAUUACCAACAUCAAAACUCUCAUAAUUCCAAGAUGCCAUGUUUUUAAAAUCAACAAGUAAAAAAAAAUUAAAACAAAUAAAAUACAAAAAAUAAAAAUAAAAGUUCAAACUUAAAACCUAGCAAUAUGUACACCUACAACUACACCGUUAGUUCCCCGGCAACGACGCCAAAAUUUGAUCACGACCAACUCUAGUCCUAAAAAGGAUAGGUGGUCGCUGCAAAUAUAAUCCGGUCUUUAAGUCCGGAGUCGAAUCCCACAGAGAACUAAGGUUUUGCUAUAAAUGUUCAAUAUCACCAAUAAGCCAAGCUCGAAACAAUUUCUAAGAUAUAAAUAUUAAGAUUCUUAUAUAUAACUAAUAAACUAACAAAUUAAAAUAGUAAAUUAGAAACUAAAGAUACUAAGGGUUGGAGACAAGAUGUGAUGACUCAAAGGGGUCAUCUCGUGUUUUAGAACCCAAUCUGGGGUUCUGAGGCCUUCAAAACCUCAUCUUACUUCUACUCAAUUUGCGCACACAGUCCGGGCGCGUUUUCGGAAAGCCCUUAUAUGAAUUUUUUUAGAAAAUAAUAAAUUUUUGCCUUUAAAAGUGAUUUUUAGUUGACUUUGGUCAAUAUUUUGAGUGAACGGACCCGGACCCAUGUUUUGACGGUCCCGGAGGGUCCGUAGUAAAAUAUGGGACUUGGUCGUAAGCUCGAAAUCGAAUUCCGAGGUCCCUAGCCCGAGAAAUGAAUUUUUGACGAAAAUUGUUAAACUGACAUUAUAAUGAUUUAAAGAAAUUGAUUAAUGUAUGAUCUCGUUGGUAUCGGGUAUUUUAGUUUCGGAGCCCGAUACAGGUCUAAUAUGAUAUUGAAGUCAUGUCUGUGAAAUUUGGUGAAAAUCAGAGUUUAUUUGACGUGAUUCAGACCUUUAGUUGAUAAAAUAGAAGUGUUGAAACUAUCUUGAAAAUUUCAUGAGUUUUUGCGUGGAAUCCGUAGUUCUAGGUGCUAUUUUGGCGAUUUGAUCAUCGAGCAAGUUCAUAUAAUGUGUUAAGACUUGUGUGCAUGUUUGGUUUGGAAUCCCGAGGACUCGGGUGAGUUUCAUAUAGGCUAUGAAAUGUCUAGACUUAAGAAAAGACCUGGUGUUGGAUAGUUGCGGAUAUUGCAGGUCUCAGCUCUUAGGAGUGCGACUGCAGAGUGAAAUUCAUGGACUGCGGUAGAAGAAUGCCUCCGGGUUGAAACUUCGCGGACCGCGGGUUUAAGAACGCAGCCGCGGUGGGGGCUCCGCGGACGAGGUAGGGUAAGGCUCAAUUUUGCGGCCACCCCCAUAAUUUUGCGGACCGCAGUGGAGGUUCGCGGUUGCGCCCGAAAAUUUGCGGACCGCGUUGUGAGGAACCGGGGGUGCUAUAUAAAUGGGACUUUUCAUCCAUUUUUCACUUUUUCAAAACCCUAAACAUAAGAGGCGAUUUUCCAAACACGUCUUCUUCCCCAAAUCAUAAGUAAGUGAUUCUUAACUCAUUUCUUUCACUCUUUUACUUCUUUUUACAAGAUUUCAUCCUAGAAUCUAGGGUUUUCAUGGUGAAAUUGGAGAUUUUUGGGUAGAACUUAGGAAUUUCGAAGUUUGAGAAUUGAGACCUCAAAUUGAGGUCGAAUUCCAAAAUCAAUUGUAUAUCUAGGCUCAGGGGUAAAUCGGUAAUUGGGUUUUGGUCCAAAUUUACUGUUUUGACCAAGCAAGCCCGGGGUCGGUUUUUGACUUUUUGGGAAAAAUGUUGGGAAAUCUAUAAUUAUGCAUUAGAAUUGAUUUCUUUAGCAAUAAUUGAUGUUACUCAGUUAAUUAUGACUAGAUACGAGUGGUUCGGAGGUGGAAACUAAGGAAAAAAACGGUGUUUGAGACUUGAGUUCGGCCGUUGAAUCAAGGUAAAUGUCGUGGCUAACCUUAGCUUGAGGGAAUAGGUAUAGUGUGAUUAUUUACUACAUGUUUUGUUGUUGAAUAUGAUGUAUAGGUGAGGUGACGAGCACCUAUGCAUUGUGGUCGAGUCAUAGCAUGCUAGUGAAAUUUCAUUCUUGCAAAUUUUGUAGCCUUAAAUCUUAUUAUCCAUGCUUAUUGUUGUCACUGCAAAUGUGGGGAGACUUAUAUAUGGUUCCACCGAGGUUGAUAAUUUUAGAAUAUUGAUUCAAGGUCGAAAUGUCAAAUUGUGAAAUUAAUCAUUGAUGAAAUACUGGUCUCUUUGUGAUACUUCUCUCUAUCCGUUGUUAAAUUUGUGAUUUGUGAGGAGUGUAAAGCACGUAGGGUGAUGUCGUGCAUGAUUUAUUUAUAUCGUGAGGAAGAGUGUUAAUGCACGAAGGGUGAUGUCGCGCUAUGAUAUGAGAGCGAUAAAGCACGAAGGGUGAUGCGAUGUAUAUUAUGUGAGGUUUAAUGCACGAAGGGUGAUGUUGUGCCGUUCUAUUUAUAUAUUGGUGAGGUUGAGAGUAAAAGCACGAAGGGUGAUGUCGUGCAGUUUUCCUUUGUUGUCUAAAUUGCUUAAUUUAUUUGAGGAUUUCUUUUUAAAAUUAUGCCUUUAUAUUACUCUCUUACUCUUUAUAUUAUGAUUCCCCGUUGCAUGUCCCCUUCCUAUUAUUUCUGUUUUAUUCCUUUGUUUAUCGUUAUUGCCAUUAGCAUGAUUAUACAGUUCAGGUUUGUGUGGUGUCUUGUCCUAGCCUCGACAUUUACUAGUACAUGGGGUCGGUUGUACUGAUACUGCACUAUGCACUUUCUGUGCAGAUUUCGGUACCGAACCUCGUUGAUCAGGGUUGGGUUGCUGCCUUCAGUCCAUCAGGAGACCCAAGGAAGAUCUACCGGCAUUCGCAAAGCCUGGAGUCCCCUUCCAUUUAUCUUAGUUUCCCUGUUUUCUUUCAUUUCGAGAACAAAUGUAUUUUCUUUAAACCGAUAUUUGUAGUAGCUCUUAGAAGUUCGGGGAUUGUGACACCAGAUUUUGGGUAGUUGUGUAAUAGUGUCUAGUCUAUUAUAAAUUUCUGCACUUUUUAUUUUGUUCUGGUUUAGAUUAUUAUUAUUUACUGUUUUGAAUAGUGAUUAGCGUGUUAGAUCUUUAUCUGUUGGCUUGCCUAGCAUUCUAAGAGUUAGGCGCCAUCACGAUCCCGAGGGUGGGAAAUCCAGGUCGCGAUAAGUUGGUAUCAGAGCACUAGGUUGCCUAGGUCUCACAAUUUACGAACAAGCUAGGUAGAGUCUGAGGGAUCGGUACGGAGACGUAUGUGCUUAUCCCCUAGAGGCUACAGAGUUUAGGAACAAUUUCACUUCUAUUCUUCUCUAUCGUGUGACUUGAUUUCUCAAUGCUAAUUUGACUUUCUACUCUUGUUCUUUCAUAUAUGGUGAGAACACGUAUCGCUUCAUCAACUGAUCAGCAGCCCAAGCCCCCAAUGGCAGCUCCUACGAGGGGCAGAGGACGAGGUCGAGGUCGUGCCAGUGGCCGAGGCUGGGGCAGGACUCGGCGUAGAGCUCGAGCACCAGCACCAGCAGCGGAGCCUCUAGUAGAGUUUGAGGAGGAGGCUCCAGCCCAGGCAGUUCCAGCAGGACCAUCUCAGAUCUCGGGGGGGGGGGGGGGGGGUUUCAUAGCCACCCUAGUACUUCAGGAUUCUUUGGUCCGUAUAGUAGGCCUGAUGAACAGUGUAUCUCAGACCGACACAUUCCCUGUAGCACCAGCCGUCCCUCAGGUUGGGGGAGGAGCACAGACUCCCUCUACCCACACUCUGGAGAAGAUGGCUCCUCAAUUUCAAACUCCGGCAGCUCAGCCAGUUGGAGUAGUCGAGCCAGCUAUUGUGGCACAGGCCGCUGGUGGAUCAGUCAUGUCUUCUAAGGACUUGUUGAGGUUGGACAAGUUCACCAAGCUUUUCCCGGUUCAUUACAGUGGGGCAACUUCUGAGGACCCACAGGAUUAUCUUGACCGCUGCCAUGAGGUGUUGCAGAACAUGGGGAUAGUGGAGACCAAUGGGGUUAACUUUGCUAUAUUCCAGAUGGUAGGGUCCGCCAAGAGAUAGUGGAAUGAUUUUGUGUUGACUAGACCAACUGGGUCGCCUGCCUUGACUUGGGACCAAUUCUCUUAGCUAUUUCUCAAGAAGUUCCUUCCUGUUACUGAGAGAGAAGACUAUCGCAGGCAGUUCGAGCAUCUUCAGUAGGGUUAUAUGACUGUCACUCAGUACGAGACUAGGUUUGUUGAUUUGGCCAGUCAUGUUUUUCUUAUACUUCCUACCGAGAGAGAGAGUGAGGAGGUUUAUUGAGGGACUCGCUCAGCCUAUCAGAUUGCAGAUGGCUAAGGAGACAGGGAGCGAGAUUUCUUUUCAGGAUGCGACCAAUAUGGCCAGGUGAUUUGAGGCGGUUUUAUCUUAGGGGAGUGGUCAGGGGACUGACAAGAUGCCUCAUCAUUCUGGUAGGUUCAGUGGUUCUUCGUUUGGAGGCAGGGAUUCUUUUGGUAGAGGUCAUCCUCCCAAGCCAUUUCAUUCAGCACUUCAGGCUUCUCACCAUGCUUCAGGUGGCCGUAGCUCCCAUAUGUAGUAUUCUGAUCAGCGACCCUAUAGUGCACCACUAGCUCCUAUCAGUGCACCUCCGCUCCAGAGUUUUCAGAGUGGUUAUCCAGGUCGUCAAGGUCCGCAGUCCCAGCAGCCGAGGUCUUGUUAUACUUAUGGCGAUCCGAGGCACAUUGCCAAGUAUUUCCCUCGAGCAUCGAGUAGUUCUCAGCAUCAGGGUUCUCGUGCCAUGGUUCCGGCACCGGGGGUUUCACCGCCCGCCCAUCCAGGUAGAGGUAGGGGUUGGACAGCUAGAGAUUGAGGUUGAGAUGUUAGAGGUGGAGGUCAGGCCACUAGAGGUGGAGGCUAGCUAGUAGGAGGCCAUCCCAGGGAUGUAGCUUAGAGUGGUGGGGCCCAACCCUGAUGUUAUGCUUUCCCCACCAGGCCUGAGGUUCAGUCAUGGAAUGUUGUUAUCACAGGUUGUGACAACCCGGCCGGUCAUCUUAAGAAUUAACGUCCCAAUCAAUUAUUAGCUACUUUCCUUAUGUUUAUUUCUGCUAUUUUGAUUUGCCGGGAUGUUCGGGUUUGAGUUUCGGAGAGUUUUGGGACACUUAGUCCCUAAAUGAGAGCUUAAGUGUUGAAAAUUUUACCGUAGUCGGAACAGUAUGAAGACGAGAUCGGAAUGCAAAUCUGAUGGUUCCGUUAGCUCCGUUGGGUGUUUUCGGGCUUAGCGGCGUGUUCGGAUUGUGUUUUGGAGGUCCAUAGCUAAUUUAGGCUUGAAAUGCCGAAAGUCGAAUUUUGAAGUUUCCGGUUCGAUAGUGAGAUUUUGAUUCAAGGGCCGGAAUGGAGUUCCGGAAAUUGAAGUAGCUCCGUAGUGUUGAAUGUGAUGUGUAUGCAAAGUUUCAGGUCAUUCGGAGGAGGUUUGAUAGACUUUUUGAUCGAAAGCGUAUUUUUAGAGUUUUGGAGUUCUUAGGCUUGAAUUCGCGGUUGAUUCAUAGUUUCGAUGUUGUUUUAGGUGUUUUGAGGAUUGGUAUAAGUUUGGGCAGUGGUAUUUAGACUUGUUGGUGCCUUUGGUUGAGGUCUCAGGGGCCUCGGGAUGGUUUCGGAAGAAUUUGGAACUUGUUUUAUCAGUUUCAGCUGCUGGUUUCCUAUCAUAACUGCACCUGCGAGUGUGGGACCGCAGGUGCGGCACCGCAGAAGUGGCUAUGUGACCGCGGGAGCGAUAUUUGGCCCAAGCUCUAGGAUUCACAGGUGCGGCUGGGUUUUCGCAGAUGCGGCCAAGCGACCGCAGAUGCAGACCCAGCCCGUUAAAUGACUUUUCGCACUUGUGAUGCAUUCUUCUGCAAGUGCGGGACCGCAAUUGCGCUCCCUUGACCACAUAUGCGGUAAUCACUGGGCAGAAAUAUGAAAUUUCGAGGGUUUGGUUCAGAACUUGGAAAAAUCAAAUUGGAGCUUGGAAGAGGGUGAUUUUUGGAGGAAAUUUAAGAGGAAAUCAUUGGGUAAUAAUUUUUUAACCCUUUCUAGUUAUAUUCCAUCAAUCUAUACUUAGUUUCAUCAUUUAAUUUCGGAUGGGAGAUAAAAAUUGGGAGAAAGUUCUUAGGCCUACAAUUUGAAUUUUGAUUGGGAAAUUGACCUUAGAUUUGGAUAAUUUUGGUAUGCAUGAACUCGUGAGAGUAUGAGGAUUCUAAAAAUAUAAAUGUUACCCGAUUUCGAUACGUGGGUCCGAGGGGAAUUUUUGUCAUUUUACCUAAUUUUGCGUAUUAGCUUAGAAUUUAAUUGUAGAGUCAGUUACUUGAAGUGUUAUUUACAUUAUGCAAUUGGAUUGAAUAGAUUUGGGCCAUUUGGAGUCGAGUACUCGUGGUAAGAACGUGGUUUCGAGUUGAUUUUGAGCCGGUUCGAGGUAAGUGGCUUGCCUACCUUGUGUGUGCGACCUUNNNNNNNNNNNNNNNNNNNNNNNNNNNNNNNNNNNNNNNNNNNNNNNNNNNNNNNNNNNNNNNNNNNNNNNNNNNNNNNNNNNNNNNNNNNNNNNNNNNNNNNNNNNNNNNNNNNNNNNNNNNNNNNNNNNNNNNNNNNNNNNNNNNNNNNNNNNNNNNNNNNNNNNNNNNNNNNNNNNNNNNNNNNNNNNNNNNNNNNNNNNNNNNNNNNNNNNNNNNNNNNNNNNNNNNNNNNNNNNNNNNNNNNNNNNNNNNNNNNNNNNNNNNNNNNNNNNNNNNNNNNNNNNNNNNNNNNNNNNNNNNNNNNNNNNNNNNNNNNNNNNNNNNNNNNNNNNAUCCGGUUUUCAUUAAGUAAUUACUAGUAUGUUUCUUUUCUUGUUUAUAUUACCUGCAUUUAAAGCAUGUUGUUAGCUUAGGAAAGCAUGUCUAAGUGUUUUAAUUGCCUUAUUUGCUCAAACUGCUUUACCUGAAUUCCGUGCAACAUGCUAUGCUAGAAUUACUUGUUUGCCUUGUUAUGAAAUUGACAUUUCUGAAUAUUUUCUUGAUGCUGCUGUGUAAUUACAUUUGGGACUACGGAUGUGGGAUUUCGGUAGCUCCCCUUGUCUGUUUAUUUGGGACUACGGAUGUGGGAUUCCAUUAGAUCCCCAUGCACAGUUAUAUGGAACUACGGGACUACACCCGGUAGAUUCCCCCAGUACUGGGUAUUUACAUUUGGGACUACGGAACGGGAUUCUGGUAGAUCCCCGCGCACUAUGAGUUGGACUAUGGGAUGAGAUCCCGGGAGAUCCAUUGGAUAUGUAUAUUUGGGACUACUGAGUACCGCUGUGGUGUACUCAUGCCCUUUCUUCGCAUGUUUUCAUGUGCAGAUCCAGGUACUUUGACUCAGUCCUAUCACCCUUGAGGCGAUGCGACUGCUCUAGAUAAUUUGAGGUAUAUCUGUUACGUCCGUAGACCGAGAAGUCCCUUUCCAUUCUUUCUUGUAGUGAUAGCCCUUCUAUUUUCUUCUGUUGAUGUAGACAUUCCGGAGCUAGAGCUUUUUUAUUAUAUUCGUAGCUUGUGAUUCAUGGGUUUCCAGGUUUUGGGAAAAAUGUAUUGGUUUUAAGAGUUAAUAUUGUGUAUGCCGAGUGACACUUUUAAACGCUAUUUUAUUACUCCAUUCCUAUUUUAAAUUGUUUUCUUCCGCAAAUUUGGUUUAUCUUCCGCAUUUUAGGCUUACCUAGUCGUAGAGACUAGGUGUCGUCACGAUGGUUCACGGAGGGAGAACCUGGGUCGUGACAAGUUGGUAUUAGAGCUCUAGGUUCAUAAAAGUCAUGAAUCACAAGCCGGUUUAUUAGAGUCUCGCUUAUCAGUACGGAGACGUCUGUACUUAUCUAUGAGAGGCUAUGUAAUAAUUAGGAAAAUUUUCACUUCAUUUUAUUUCCUUGUCGUGCGAGAUUUUAUGUCAUAAUUCUAAACUUCUAUCUUCUAUUCUAUCACUGAUGGUGAGGACACGCGCUACCCGAGAUGAUCAGGCACCCGCGUUCCCUACUACAGCCGUCAGAGGCCGGGGCCGGGGUAGAGGCUGAGGACGCGCACGUGGUGCAGCCAGAGCACCUGCACGAGCGGGCACCGAGGUACCACCAGUAGUUUUAGCCGAAGUCCAGGCACCUGAUAUGCCUACUGCUACUACUACUCUAGCACUUCAGGAGACUUUGGCACAGUUCGUGAGCAUGUACACCACUUUGGCUUAGGCAUGGUUGCUUCCCAUUGCUGCAGCUACGUCUUAGGCCGGGGGAGGAGCACAGACUCCCGCCUCCCGUACUCCUAAGCAGCGAGUGCAUGUUGAGCAGGUCCCUGAGAUUAUUGCUGUACAGCGUGCAGUUCGAGAUCAUCUCGAGGACAAUGAUGCAUGGCGCGUAGAGUUUGAGCAUUUACGCAAAGGUGCUAUGACUGUCUUAGAGUAUGUUGUCCGUUACACUAGUUUGGCUAGACAUGCACCAGCCUUGUUUUCUACUAUUCGUGAGAGGGUUCGCUGGUUUAUUGAGGGCCUUAUUCCCAACAUCAGGUCUAGCAUGGCUCGUGAGUUGGAGAUGGAUAUUUCUUAUCAGCAGGUGGUGAGCAUUGCUAGGAGGAUUGAGGGUAUGGAUGCUAGGGAGAGAGAGGAGAGGACGACCAAGAUGUCUCGAGAGUCUGGCCAUUAUUCUGGUGCUCGUGCCUCAGCUGCAGGACGUCAUGGUAGUGGUUAUAUGAAUCGCCCUGUUCAUUCAGCUCUUCUAGCAACCAAUGGUAUUCUAGCUCCUCCUAGACCUCGGGAGCCUUAUUAUGCACCUAUGGGUUCUAGCGCGCCUCCUAAGCUGGGUGCUUUUAGAGGUCAGUCCAGUAAACCUGGCCCGAGCCAGUCACAGUUGCCACAUCCUCCCAGAGCUUGUUUUGAGUGUGGUGACACAUGCCAUAUGGUAAGGGAUUACCCCAUACUUGGGAGGGGUGCACCUCCACAGACUUCUCAGCCACAAUGUGUCCCGCAGAGUUCUCAGGCUAUGAUUACAGCUCCAGUUUCUACCCCACCUGCUCAGCCAGCUAGAGGUGGAGGUCAGGGAGGUAGAGGUCUCCCUAGAGGGAGAGGCCAGGCCAGAUACUAUGCCCUUCCUGCCCGUACCGAGGUUGUUGCCUCCGAUUUUGUCAUCAAAUGUAUUAUACUGGUUUGUCACAAAGAUGCAUCGGUUCUAUUCGAUCCAGACUCCACUUACUCUUAUCUAUCUUCUUAUUUUGCUCCGCAUUUGGGUGUACCUCGGGAUUCUUUGAGUUCCCCUGUUUAUGUUUCUACUCCUGUGGGAGAUUCUCUUGUUGUGGACCGAAUUUAUCAGUCGUGUUUGGUUGCUCUUAGUGGUUUUGAGACCAAAGCGUAUUUAUUGUUGCUCAUCAUAGUAGAUUUUGAUAUUAUAUUAGGCAUAGACUGGUUGUUGCCCCAUUAUGCUAUUCUUGACUGUCACACCAAAAUUGUGACAGUGGAUAUGCCAGGUGUACCGCUUGUUGAGUGGAGGGGUACUUUAGAUCACACUUCCAGUAGAGUUAUUUCUUUUCUUAAAGCUCAGCGUAUGGUUGAGAAGGGGUGUAACGCAUAUUUAGCUCAUGUGAGAGAUGUCAGUGUUGAUACCCCUUCAGUUGAUUCAGUCACAGUAGUACGGGAUUUUCCCGAUGUGUUUCCAGUUGAUCGUUCGGGCAUGCUGCCUAAUAGAGAUAUUGACUUUGGCAUUGAUCUGUUGUCGGGCACUCAGCCCAUUUCUAUUCCUCCGUAUUGUAUGGCUCCUCCUGAGUUGAAGGAUCAGUUAUAGGAAUUGCUUAAUAAGGGUUUUAUUUGGCCCAGUGUAUCACCUUGGGGGUGCUCCUGUCUUGUUUGUGAAGAAAAGGGAUGGUUCUAUGUGUAUAUGUAUUGAUUAUCGCCAGUUGAACAAGGUUACAGUGAAGAACCAUUAUCCUUUGCCUCGUAUUGAUGAUCUGUUUGACCAGCUUCAGGGCGCACAGGUAUUUUUUAAGAUUGACUUGCACUCAGGUUACCAUCAGUUGAGAUUCGGGAGCCAGAUAUCCCGAAGACUGCUUUCAGGACUUGGUAUGGUCAUUACGAGUUCCUUGUUAUGUCAUUUGGGCUUACCAAUGCCCCAGCAACCUUUAUGCAUUUGAUGCAUAUCUUGACUCGUUCGUCACUGUCUUUAUUGAUGAUAUUCUGAUAUAUUCCCGGAGUCGGGAAGAUUAUGAGCAGCACCUAAGGACAGUGCUCCAGACCUUGCGAGAAAAUAAGUUAUAUGCUAUGUUCUCGAAAUGUGAGUUUUGGUUGGAUUCUGUGGCAUUCUUAGGCCACGUGGUGUCGAGUGAGGGUAUUCAGGUGGAUCUAAAGAAAAUAGAGGUCGUGCAGAGUAGACCUAGACUAUCUUGAGCUACAGAGAUCCACAAAUUUCUUGGCUUGGCGGGUUAUUACCAUCGUUUUGUUGAGGGGUUUUCGUCGAUUGCUGCCCCUAUGACCAAACUGACCCAAAAGGGUGCUCCAUUCAAGUGGACAGAAUAGUGUGAGGCGAUCUUUUAGAAGAUCAAGACAGCUUUGACUACAUCCCAGUUUUGAUAUUGCCUACAGGUUUGGGGUU